CCUACGGGAGGCAGCAGUGGGGAAUAUUGGGCAAUGGAGGAAACUCUGAUCCAGCAACGCCGCGUGACUGAUGAAGGUCUUCGGAUUGUAAAGUUCUUUUCUAAGGGAAGAAGAAAGUGACGGUACCUUAGGAAUAAGCCUCGGCUAACUACGUGCUAGCAGCCGCGGUAAUACGUAGGAGGCAAGCGUUAUCCGGAAUGACUGGGCGUAAAGGGUGCGUAGGUGGUUUGACAAGUAGGUUGAGUAACUCCGGGGCUCAACCUCGGAACUACGACCAGAACUGUCGGACUUGAGUGUAGGAGGGGCAAAUGGAAUUCCUAGUGUAGCAGUGGAAUGCGUAGAUAUGAGGAGGAACACCAGUGGCGAAGGCGAUUUGCUGGAAUAUAACUGACACUGAGGCACGAAAGCGUGGGUAGCAAACAGGAUUAGAUACCCCAGUAGUC
This 443-nucleotide ribosomal RNA is filed under the name uncultured bacterium. RNAcentral describes it as "partial 16S ribosomal RNA". It matches the Rfam family "Bacterial small subunit ribosomal RNA", at positions 338 to 795 of the family's 1533-position model. The record is from RNAcentral.